Molecule: ribosomal RNA, 733 nt
Filed under: uncultured bacterium
Lineage: Bacteria
Description: bacterial SSU rRNA
Rfam family: Bacterial small subunit ribosomal RNA
Source: RNAcentral
AACAGGAUUAGAUACCCUGGUAGUCCACGCCGUAAACGUUGGGCGCUAGAUGUAGGGACCUUUCCACGGUUUCUGUGUCGUAGCUAACGCAUUAAGCGCCCCGCCUGGGGAGUACGGCCGCAAGGCUAAAACUCAAAGGAAUUGACGGGGGCCCGCACAAGCGGCGGAGCAUGCGGAUUAAUUCGAUGCAACGCGAAGAACCCUACCAAGGCUUGACAUACACCGGAAACGGCCAGAGAUGGUCGCCCCCUUGUGGUCGGUGUACAGGUGGUGCAUGGUUGUCGUCAGCUCGUGUCGUGAGAUGUUGGGUUAAGUCCCGCAACGAGCGCAACCCUCGUUCUAUGUUGCCAGCGCGUUAUGGCGGGGACUCAUAGGAGACUGCCGGGGUCAACUCGGAGGAAGGUGGGGAUGACGUCAAAUCAUCAUGCCCCUUAUGUCUUGGGCUUCACGCAUGCUACAAUGGCCGGUACAAAGGGCUGCGAUACCGUAAGGUGGAGCGAAUCCCAAAAAGCCGGUCUCAGUUCGGAUUGAGGUCUGCAACUCGACCUCAUGAAGUCGGAGUCGCUAGUAAUCGCAGAUCAGCAACGCUGCGGUGAAUACGUUCCCGGGCCUUGUACACACCGCCCGUCAAGUCAUGAAAGUCGGUCACACCCGAAGCCGGUGGCCUAACCCUUGUGGAAGGAGCCGUCGAAGGUGGGAUCGGUGAUUAGGACUAAGUCGUAACAAGGUAACC